RNAcentral lists this small RNA (600 nucleotides) under Cryptococcus neoformans H99. Its description in RNAcentral is "Cryptococcus neoformans var. grubii H99 hypothetical RNA". The record is from RNAcentral. Lineage: Eukaryota; Fungi; Basidiomycota; Tremellomycetes; Tremellales; Cryptococcaceae.
AAUUUUGUCAUCCUUCUGGGUGUAAACUGGAAGUAUACGUCAAAUUGGCAGAAAUGCUGCAUCACGGUCAGCAUCCAGCUGUAGUCGGGCAAAGGAGGAAGGGAGGAAGGUGUCUGCCAAACGUUCUUCUGCGGCUGGGAAAUAUUUGCUGAAUGGAUGAAGAGCGAACGGCACGUUGAGGGAACAGUACAAUAGCAGCAGCAGCAGCAGCGAGCAACCGCCUACGUGACAUCCGUAUCCAAGACUGUGCACAUGUUUCGUAGCACAUCGAUGCACUGGACGUUUUCCAAGACAUCCGCGCCAGACUUGAAAACCAUAUGCGCGGGGACCUGGACUUGGUCAUACUCGUGCGCUAUCAAAUUCGAUGAUUCCUUAUUAUCAACUCCGUACAGCAGAGCCGGAAUGAGGCAGACACUACGAAGAGCCAAGGAAGACGUGUUAUGGUAUAUGAGAAAGCCACGGCCUCUGCGACCAUAUUACUCGUGCUAGAAAUGAUGUUCUGGGGGAAAAGUACAUAGAGAAGGAGAAUGCGGAGGAUGAAGACGAUGGCGUUGGCGACGGAUGUUGAACGUGUGCAUAUGUUUGCCAACAAACAGUAGA